Molecule: long non-coding RNA, 1937 nt
Organism: Mytilus californianus (California mussel)
Lineage: Eukaryota; Metazoa; Mollusca; Bivalvia; Mytilida; Mytilidae
Exons: 2
Source: RefSeq, a predicted model, not a curated record
AUGGUUUUUAUACGACCGCAAAAAAAUUUUGUGGUCGUAUAUUGGUAUGACGUUGGCGUCGUCGUCCGAAGACACAUUGGUUUUCGCACUCUAACUUUAGUUUAAGUGAAUGGAUCUUUUUGAAAUUUGACCAUAAGGUUAAAUACCACUAAAGGAAGGUUGGGAUUGAUUUUGGGGGUUAUGGUACCAACAGUUAAGGAAUUAGGGGCCAAAAAGGGCCCAAAAAUAAGCAUUUUCUAGUUUCCAGACAAUAACUGUGGAACGGUGUAUGGAUCUCUCUGAAAUUAUACUACAAGUUUCCAUACCACAAAGGGAUGGUUAGGAUUUGCUUUGGGGGGUUAUGGCUCAAACCGUUUAGGAAUUAGGGGCAAAAAAGGGGGAAAACAAGGUUGUCCUGGUUAAUGGACAAAUACUUUUAGUACAAAACAUAAUUUAAAGCAGUGUAAGGGAGAUAAAUCAAAUACAUCAUUGAAAUUAUCUCCCUUACACUGCUUUUAAAUUAUGUAUAAAGUAAUGGUUAAUGAACAAUAAAGAUAAUUUAAAACAGUGUAAGGGAGGUAAUCCAAAUACAACGUUUUGGUUACUUCCCUUACACUGCUUUUAAAUUAUGUGUAAAGAAAUGCAUAUUUAUAAAGGAAGACCAGUAAAAAUAUCUGCAAAUGUUGCAUCUUUUUUUUUUUACAAUAAAAUCCAUAUGAAGGUCCAAAGGGUCCAAAAUUAAACUUUGUUUGAUUUUAGCAAAAAUUGAAUAUAUGAGGUUCUUUGAUAUGCUGAAUCUAAACAUGUAUUUAGAUUUUUGAUUUUUGGCCCAGUUUUCAAGUUGGUCCAAAUUGGGGUCCAAAAUUAAACUUUGUUUGAUUUCAACAAAAAUUGAAUAUAUGGGGUUCUUUGAUAUGCUGAAUCUAACCAUGUAUUUAGAUUUUUUAUUUGUGGACCCCGUUAUCAAAUUGGUUCAUAUUGAGGUCAAAAGGGUCCAAAAUUAAACUUUGUUUGAUUUCAUCUAAAAUUGAAUUAUUGGGGUUCUUUGAUAUUCCAAAUCUAACCGUGUAUUUAGAUUUUUAAUUUUGGGUCCUGUUUUUUAAAUUGGUCUACAUUAAGGUCCAAAGGGUCCAAAAUUAAACUUAGUUUGAUUUUAGCAAAAAUUGAAUUCUUGGGGUUCUUUGAUAUGCUGAAUCUAAACAUGUGUUUAGAUUUUUGAUUAUGGGCCCAGUUUUCAAGUUGGUCCAAGUUGGGGUCCAAAAUUAAACUUUGUUUGAUUUCAACAAAAAUUGAAUAUAUGGGGUUCUUUGAUAUGCUGAAUCUAACCAUGAAUUUAGAUUUUUUAUUUGUGGGCCCCACUAUCAAAUUGGUUCAUAUUGAGGUCAAAAGGGUCCAAAAUUAAACUUUGUUUGAUUUCAUCAAAAAUUGAAUUAUUGGGGUUCUUUGAUAUUCCAAAUCUAACCGUGUAUUUAGAUUUUUAAUUUUAAGUCCCGUUUUUUAAAUUGGUCUACAUUAAGGUCCAAAGGGUCCAAAAUUAAACUUUGUUUGAUUUUAGCAAAAAUUGAAUUCUUGGGGUUCUUUGAUAUGCUGAAUCUAAACAUGUGUUUCGAUUUUUGAUUAUGGGCCCAGUUUUCAAGUUUGUUCAAGUUGGGGUCCAAAAUUAAACUUUGUUUGAUUUUAACAAAAAUUGAAUAUAUGGGGUUCUUUGAUAUGCUGAAUCUAACCAUGUAUUUUGAUUUUGGACAUUGGACCAUAAUAGGUAAAUUAAAAAAAAUUCAAAUUCUUAGACCACAUUCUUUCUGUGUCAGAAACCUAUGCUGUGUCAAAUAUUUAAUAACAAUCCAAAUUCAGAGCUGUAUCAAGCUUGAAUGUUGUGUCCAUACUUGCCCCAACUGUUCAGGGUUCGAUCUCUGCGGUCGUAUCAAGCUGCGCCCCAGCGAAGCAUUUUAUUUUUUGUU